GGGGGGGGGGGGGGGGGGGGGGGGGGGGGGGGGGGCGGGCGGGGGGGCGGGGUGGGGGGGACACGAGGGGCGGACGGGUGAGUAAGAGGGGGGUGACCUGCCCGCAAGGUGGGUAGAACGCUCGGAAACUGGGGCUCAUACUGGGUCUGUGCUCCUGCUGCAGGGUGGUGGUUGGAAAUAUCCGGAGGUUGUGGAUGGAUUCGCGGCCUAUCAGCUUGGUGGUGGGGUGGUGGCCUACCAGGGCGGCGACUGGUAGCCGGACUGAGAGGGUGACCGGACACAGUGGGUAUGAGAGAAGGCCCAGACUCCUACGGGAGGCAGCAGUGGGGAAUAGUGCACAAUGGGCGGAAGCCUGAUGAAGCAACGCCGCGUGCGGGAUGACGGCCUUCGGGUUGUAAACCGCUUUCAGCAGGGACGAAGCUUUUUGUGACGGUACCUGAAGAAGAAGCAACGGCUAACUACGUG
Molecule: ribosomal RNA, 465 nt
Filed under: uncultured bacterium
Lineage: Bacteria
Description: partial 16S ribosomal RNA
Rfam family: Bacterial small subunit ribosomal RNA
Source: RNAcentral